AACGAACGCUGGCGGCGCGCCUAACACAUGCAAGUCGAACGAGAAGGCGUAGCAAUACGCUUGUAGAGUGGCGAACGGGUGAGUAAUACGUGGGUGACCUACCCUCGAGUGGGGAAUAACCCGCCGAAAGGCGGGCUAAUGCCGCGUACGCUUCCGUCCUCACGGGGACGGAAGGAAAGCUGUACCGUGGGUACGGCGCUCAAGGAUGGGCUCACGUCCUAUCAGCUUGUUGGUAGGUAACGGCCUACCAAGGCUACGACGGGUAGCUGGUCUGAGAGGACGAUCAGCCACACUGGCACUGCGACACGGGCCAGACUCCUACGGGAGGCAGCAGUGAGGAAUAUUG
Molecule: ribosomal RNA, 346 nt
Filed under: uncultured bacterium
Lineage: Bacteria
Description: bacterial SSU rRNA
Rfam family: Bacterial small subunit ribosomal RNA
Source: RNAcentral